AGAAUCAACGCUGGCGGCGUGCCUAACACAUGCAAGUCGCACGAGAAAGGGACUUCGGUCCUGAGUACAGUGGCGCACGGGUGAGUAACACGUGAAUAAUCUACCUCCGAGUGGGGGAAUAACUGAGAGAAAUCUUAGCUAAUACCGCAUAACACUUACGAGUCAAAGCAGCAAUGCGCUUGGAGAGGAGUUCGCGGCAGAUUAGUUAGUUGGCGGGGUAAUGGCCCACCAAGACGAUGAUCUGUAUCCGGCCUGAGAGGGCGCACGGACACACUGGAACUGAAACACGGUCCAGACUCCUACGGGAGGCAGCAGUGGGGAAUUUUGCGCAAUGGGGGAAACCCUGACGCAGCAACGCCGCGUGGAGGAUGAAAUCCCUUGGGAUGUAAACUCUUUCGAUCGGGAAGAUAAUGACGGUACCGAGAGAAGAAGCCCGGCUAACUUCGCGCCAGCAGCCGC
This 459-nucleotide ribosomal RNA is filed under the name uncultured bacterium. RNAcentral describes it as "SSU rRNA". It matches the Rfam family "Bacterial small subunit ribosomal RNA", at positions 26 to 518 of the family's 1533-position model. The record is from RNAcentral.